GACCCGCGUCUGAUUAGCUGGUUGGUGAGGUAACGGCCCACCAAGGCGACGAUCAGUAGCCGGCCUGAGAGGGUGAACGGCCACAUUGGGGACUGAGACACGGCCCAAACUCCUACGGGAGGCAGCAGUGGGGAAUAUUGCACAAUGGGGGAAACCCUGAUGCAGCAACGCCGCGUGAGUGAAGAAGUAUUUCGGUAUGUAAAGCUCUAUCAGCAGGAAAGAAAAUGACGGUACCUGACUAAGAAGCCCCGGCUAACUACGUGCCAGCAGCCGCGGUAAUACGUAGGGGGCAAGCGUUAUCCGGAUUUACUGGGUGUAAAGGGAGCGUAGACAGUUUUGCAAGUCUGAAGUGAAAGCCCGGGGCUUAACCCCGGGACUGCUUUGGAAACUGUAGGACUAGAGUGCAGGAGAGGUAAGUGGAAUUCCUAGUGUAGCGGUGAAAUGCGUAGAUAUUAGGAGGAACACCAGUGGCGAAGGCGGCUUACUGGACUGUAACUGACGUUGAGGCUCGAAAGCGUGGGGAGCAAACAGGAUUAGAUACCCUGGUAGUCCACGCCGUAAACGAUGAUUACUAGGUGUUGGUGGGUACGACCCAUCGGUGCCGCAGCAAACGCAAUAAGUAAUCCACCUGGGGAGUAC
RNAcentral lists this ribosomal RNA (639 nucleotides) under uncultured bacterium. Its description in RNAcentral is "bacterial SSU rRNA". It matches the Rfam family "Bacterial small subunit ribosomal RNA", at positions 228 to 883 of the family's 1533-position model. The record is from RNAcentral.